GUCGUCUGCCCCUCGUUACUUACCUUCAAGCAAUUGGGGACCUGCUGUCUUUCUUGUGCUUGUCUCCUGCAAUUGCCUGGCUUUAGAAACAGUUUUAUCUGAGCAGACUGUCAGGACAAAGAGGAUUUGAUUGCGUUUGUGAUUCAGGGAUUGUCUUGUCAGCAGAAGAAACACAUGGCUGUGGCACUAUAACUAUGCCUCCUGUGGGAAGUGUAAAUAUAGAAAGAUGACAACAUGUGCAUUAAUGCUCGUUAGAAUGUCAUCAUUAUAUUCUGCAAAGUGUCUGCAGAAGGGAUCCCUAAAGGACACUUAGAAAUGAAGCAGCUGCUCCGGAUUUGUUCCAGCUCACAUCUCGAAGAAAAUGACAUUGAGAUAAAUACAGCAUUGUGAGCGCCUUCUGAGCAGAAGUGGCGAAACGAGAGGGGAAGAUUUCCUUUUGUAACAGGCCCAAAGCAGGACUGCAGCGUACUCCAGACUUCCUUGCCCUCUUGCCUUUUUAACACGAACCGGGUGCUGCAGUGUUCGUGGUGGUACCGACGGGCCCACCCGUCUGUGUGGUGCAAGGGGGGGUGCAGAUUCCCGAGGCAGCUCUCAUCCAGACACCGGUGUGUGGAGGCUGGUGGGAGCUCAGGCACCACGACUGGGUAGUCGCUGCUCUACAGCCAGGAAAGCUGAAGGGAGGGCUGCUUGAGCCCAGCAUUGGCUCACAGGGCUGUCUUUAUAACAGCUUGGACCCAUGUGAGAGAGGCUUCUCCUACAGCCCCUUCUUGUCUGUCACAAGCGAAUCGUGGUGUGCUCCUUGUCUUAAGAACAUGGAUAAGGAGAAACCCAGAAAAAUUAAAAUAGUUUCUGUGAAAUACAUCUCUGACUUUGUUAUCUGUGGCCAUAAGCUUUUCUUAUGCUGUCA
Oxyura jamaicensis (ruddy duck) is the source of this 907-nucleotide long non-coding RNA. RefSeq lists it as uncharacterized. The transcript is spliced from 4 exons. NCBI's taxonomy places the organism in Eukaryota, Metazoa, Chordata, Aves, Anseriformes, Anatidae. The record is from RefSeq and is a predicted model, not a curated record.